UACGAUGGGGGCUAGCGUUGCUCGGAAUCACUGGGCGUAAAGGGUGCGUAGGCGGGUCUUUAAGUCAGGGGUGAAAUCCUGGAGCUCAACUCCAGAACUGCCUUUGAUACUGAAGAUCUUGAGUUCGGGAGAGGUGAGUGGAACUGCGAGUGUAGAGGUGAAAUUCGUAGAUAUUCGCAAGAACACCAGUGGCGAAGGCGGCUCACUGGCCCGAUACUGACGCUGAGGCACGAAAGCGUGGGGAGCAAACAGG
This 253-nucleotide ribosomal RNA is filed under the name uncultured bacterium. Its description in RNAcentral is "partial 16S ribosomal RNA". It matches the Rfam family "Bacterial small subunit ribosomal RNA", at positions 524 to 776 of the family's 1533-position model. The record is from RNAcentral.